UUUCCGUAGUGAACCUGCGGAAGGAUCAUUAAAAAUGGGUGACUGUAAUUUAGGUUAACCCAUUAUAAUAUCCUACCCUUGUGAUUUGUUUGUUAUGUAAAUUUUUGUCUAUCCUAAAGAAGUUGAUAAGUGUAAUAGCUUAAAAACUUUUUUUAGGAAUGCUUAAGACUUUUAUUUAAAAUUAACUUUUUGUAUUCAUUGUCUAAAAUUAAUUUUAAAUAAUAAUUAAAACAACUUUGACAAUGAUCUCUUGGUUCUCGCACGAUGAAGACGCAGCAAAAUGCGAUAAGUAAUGUGAAUUGCAGAAUACGUGAAUCAUCAAUCUUCGAACGCAUAUUGCACUUUUUAGUUUACUAAAAAGUAUGUCUGUUGAGUAUCAGUAAAUAUUCUCAUAAAUCAUUUGAUUUAUGGUAUGAUGUUUUACAACGAUAAACAAGUGUUUCACUUAAAUGGAUUUUAAUUGAAAUCGUCGGUUGGGAACGAUUUUAAUUUUUUUAAAAAUGGAUAAAUUUUCCGUAAAAAGAAUAAAGCUAUUUCAGUUUUUAGAAAUUUUAAUAGUUCCAUACCGGUACAGUUAAAGGAAUUUAUUUAUAAUAACUUGAUCUCAAAUCAGAUAAGAGUACCGCUGACUUAAGCAUAUCAUAAGCGGAGGAAAGAAACUAACAAGGAUUCCUUAGUAACGGCGAGUGAAGCGGAAGAGCUCAAAUUUGAAAUCUUCAAGUUCUACCUUGACGAAUGUAGUUUAAAGAAUGUUUCUGUUAGAGAGUGGCAAAGUUCUUUGGAAUAGACAUCAUAGAGGGUGAGAAUCCGUAUUGGUCAUUCUUCUAGCUGUGUAUACACUUUCAAAGAGUCGAUUGUUUGGAAUGCAGUCAAAAUGGUGUAAAUUUAUCUAAAGCUAAAUAUGCGAGAGACCGAUAGCGAACAAGUACGUGAGGAAAGAUGAAAGAACUUUGAAAGAGAGUUAAACAGUACGUGAAAUUGUCAAAAGGGAAGCGUUUGACACAGUGUUGUUUUUCCGAAAAUCAAUUGUGCUGCUGGAUUUGUAGGAGUUUGACCUUAUCAGCUUCUUGCUUUUUUCCGGUCUGUGCAAUGCACUUUUCGUUAACAAGUCAACAUCAUUUCUUUUGUGUAAAAGGGUAAUGGAAGGUGCUUCUUUUCGGAGAAAGUGUUUAUAGCCUUUUACUUUACAAUCGGAGAGAUUGAGGUCUGCAGCGUAAUCCUUCGGGUAAUACAUUUGUGCUAAGUUAUAGCCUGUAUAGACAACUUUUGACUAUACUCGUCAUGUAGCUUACUCGCUUAUGCUAUUUACCUACGCUUAGGAUGUUG
This 1326-nucleotide unclassified non-coding RNA is filed under the name uncultured Neocallimastigales. RNAcentral's name for it is "partial contains small subunit ribosomal RNA, internal transcribed spacer 1, 5.8S ribosomal RNA, internal transcribed spacer 2, and large subunit ribosomal RNA". The stretch from base 600 to 1326 matches the Rfam family "Eukaryotic large subunit ribosomal RNA", at positions 1 to 627 of the family's 3401-position model. The record is from RNAcentral. Lineage: Eukaryota; Fungi; Neocallimastigomycota; Neocallimastigomycetes; Neocallimastigales.